RNAcentral lists this transfer RNA (77 nucleotides) under Candidatus Coatesbacteria bacterium RBG_13_66_14. RNAcentral describes it as "tRNA-Val". It matches the Rfam family "tRNA". From Rfam's summary of the family: Transfer RNA (tRNA) molecules are approximately 80 nucleotides in length. Their secondary structure includes four short double-helical elements and three loops (D, anti-codon, and T loops). Further hydrogen bonds mediate the characteristic L-shaped molecular structure. tRNAs have two regions of fundamental functional importance: the anti-codon, which is responsible for specific mRNA codon recognition, and the 3' end, to which the tRNAs corresponding amino acid is attached (by aminoacyl-tRNA synthetases). tRNAs cope with the degeneracy of the genetic code in two manners: having more than one tRNA (with a specific anti-codon) for a particular amino acid; and 'wobble' base-pairing, i.e. permitting non-standard base-pairing at the 3rd anti-codon position. The record is from RNAcentral. Lineage: Bacteria; Candidatus Coatesiibacteriota.
GGGCGGUUAGCUCAGCCGGUGAGAGCGCCGGUCUUACAAACCGGAGGUCGCAGGUUCGAUCCCUGUUCCGCCCACCA